GAAGUGGAUGACACAGCCGCACGACAUGACGUAUAUUUUUCCAAUAGAAACCGGAAGUCAGAAAGUCAGUUUUAAAAAGCAGAAACUUAAACACUAUCUAUAAUGAUAAUAUGCUAAGAUGUUAUAGGUUGGUUCCGCUGGUGGGAGUGAAGACCAGUGAGGACUUGAGGUUGAGGCAGCAGGCUGAUUUCCCAUACGAGCUAAUUAAUGCAUUGUUAAGUACCUAGCUAAAUAUUCUUUAGAUCUUGUACUAAGUAUUUUUAAUAUCUGUAUAGUAGUAAUUAUAAUAAAAAACAAAAGUUCAAAUGUAAUUAGGCAGUAGGUCUGCCUAAUUACAUUUGAACUUUUGUUUAUUUUUUUUUAAAUUGAUUUUAAAUUCCUAGAUAUAAAUCUAGUUAAGGCUACCACUAAUUCUGCAACAGAAGAUGCUAAUCAGAAUGAAAAAGUAUAUUUUCUAUAUAGUUUAGCUGAACUAGUAUGACUCUUCUUCAGGUGUUCCAGAUCUUAGAUUUUUAUACAUCUACAGAAAAUGCUCAUCAGACUGACCAACUUUUGUUAAGGCGCUUUUGUCAUAUCUGUUAUAGUGUAGCUGGUGGCUGUUGGAGUUCAUCAUCAGGUGUUCCAUAUCCUCGAUUUUUAUACGUCAUCAGAAAAUGCUCAUCAGACUGACCAACUUUUGUUAAGGCGCUUUUGUCAUAUCUGUUAUAGUAUAGCUGGUGGCUGUUGGAGUUCAUCAUCAGGUGUACGUCAUCAGAAAAUGCUCAUCAGGGCGAACAAUUUUUGUUAAGAUAAGAUCGAGUUUAUUGUGCAUUCGUUUCGAAGCGAACAACCAGAAAGAAAACUGUCCUUGAAAAAUUAACUUAGGGAAAAGUGCCCGUUAUUAAAAUCAAAUGAAUAAAUGCUUUUUAAUGUAUUUUUUUAAAUUCAAUGCAAUAUAUAUAUUAACCCUGUUUUCUAUAUAUUUUCCUUUCAUCAGCACUUGAUCACAAUCAUAAUAUGUUUCAGUAUACCUUUUGACCAUGUACUUUAUUGUGUAGGUACUUACAUGUUAUAUUACUGAUAAAAAAUUAUACAUAAAUUUAUAUUUAAAAAAUGGCAAGCCCUUCUGGCAUAAUAGGGACCAACACUGUUUGAAUGAGUUUCUUUCGGCAUUUCUUCUCAGCCGUGGUCGUUCCGAAAUGCUAGUAGUUUGUAGCUUUGGUAAACAUCAUUUAAUUUAGAAUAUGACGUGAAAAAAUGCCUGUGAAGGCCUA
Molecule: long non-coding RNA, 1253 nt
Organism: Plodia interpunctella (Indianmeal moth)
Lineage: Eukaryota; Metazoa; Arthropoda; Insecta; Lepidoptera; Pyralidae
Exons: 4
Source: RefSeq, a predicted model, not a curated record